Topomyia yanbarensis is the source of this 1211-nucleotide long non-coding RNA. RefSeq lists it as uncharacterized. NCBI's taxonomy places the organism in Eukaryota, Metazoa, Arthropoda, Insecta, Diptera, Culicidae. The record is from RefSeq and is a predicted model, not a curated record. The transcript is spliced from 3 exons.
UAAAGUAUUCCGGCUAGAUAGCCACCUAUUGCAGUUCCCCCUAAACGGCUAUUGCGGUCCUAUCACAUGUAUUUUCAUAGACCAGUGGCAGGCCGAGAUGGGCGCAUCUGGUUACCAGGAUGGUGUGCUAUGUGUGUGGGACUUGAUACGGGGUGCCUGUAUGUGCAAAAUUGAAGCGACAAAAUUGACGACUCAAUCGUCGCACUUGCCUGUUCCCCGAGUUACGCAAUAUCGCUUGGACUGGACGAACGAAUACGGAUCUGGGAUAGAUUUCAGGGUCGUAUGGGACGACAAUACUGGAGAUGUAGCUCGGGAAGUCAGGCUUGACUGUUCCAAUUCACAGCUAAAUCCGAAGAUUAUGCUACCUGCCAAUGGUUAGGUAAUUUGUGACUACGGAAAUCGAAUGAGAAUCGUUCGUUUCCCACUUGUGGCGGCGGAAAAGUGGUUCGGUCCGGGGAAUCGUAAUCGGCCAGCUGUACAGCUGCAGCCUCCGAACGAAGCCAUUGCUAGCACGAGUCUUUGAUUUGGAAGGAUAGUUGCUGAGGACCAUUCUCACAAUAAGUUGAUAAUAUCCAUUACAUGAUCAAAUGCGCUGAUGGGUAUGAAUAUGCAUGUGUACGGUUUGGUAACCAGUACAAUUUACACCUUUCUAUGCAGUGCACGGCCACCAAUGAUUCUUCCAUAAAUUUAGACAUUGUGCCGAACAAGAGUAAAUUCGCGUAUAUAAAAUAUAUAGGAGGCCCUAUUUUCACAGUCACGUCACUUAGUGACUAGAAGGAAAUUUUCUUCUAGUCACUAGGUGACGUGACUGUGAGAAUAGGGGCUUGGAGCAUAUCGCUGUCUGUGCACGGAACUGAACAUGAUUAAAUUUUUGGCUCACGCGCAUUUAAACGAUCACUUAGCCUAUGUGUCCGCAUGUGACCGGUGGGGUAGCGUUGAGGGAUUUUGUCGCCGCUCACGGUACAUUUCUAUUUCUUCUCACUAAUGUGUAAGUACAUUUGCUGCACCCGCUUCUAGUGAAUACAUUUGAGCAGAUAUCACAAAUAGAUCCGAAAAAGUUAUUUCUUCGGGAGAAACGCUUCUCACAUAUCUCGAAUUCCCGAAGUCCUGGUGAAAUUAUGGUUGAUAUAACAAAUUCUGCCUGUUUCCCAGCAUUCUGCUUGAUAUAUUCCUGUCUAUGAUAGGCUACUAGUAUAUUCCGUCUGAAAAUA